AGGGCUAUAGCUCAGUUGGUAGAGCACCUCGUUUAUACGGUUCGAGUCCGUAUAGCCCUA
RNAcentral lists this transfer RNA (60 nucleotides) under Exacum affine. Its description in RNAcentral is "tRNA-Val". It matches the Rfam family "tRNA". Rfam says of the family: Transfer RNA (tRNA) molecules are approximately 80 nucleotides in length. Their secondary structure includes four short double-helical elements and three loops (D, anti-codon, and T loops). Lineage: Eukaryota; Viridiplantae; Streptophyta; Magnoliopsida; Gentianales; Gentianaceae. The record is from RNAcentral.